CACGUAGGCGGACUGGUCAGUUGGGGGUGAAAUCCCAGGGCUCAACCCUGGAACUGCCUCCAAUACUGCCAGUCUUGAGUCCGAGAGAGGUGAGUGGAAUUCCUAGUGUAGAGGUGAAAUUCGUAGAUAUUAGGAAGAACACCAGUGGCGAAGGCGGCUCACUGGCUCGGUACUGACGCUGAGGUGCAAAAGCGUGGGGAGCAAACA
RNAcentral lists this ribosomal RNA (207 nucleotides) under uncultured bacterium. RNAcentral describes it as "partial 16S ribosomal RNA". It matches the Rfam family "Bacterial small subunit ribosomal RNA", at positions 568 to 774 of the family's 1533-position model. The record is from RNAcentral.